Molecule: ribosomal RNA, 450 nt
Filed under: uncultured bacterium
Lineage: Bacteria
Description: bacterial SSU rRNA
Rfam family: Bacterial small subunit ribosomal RNA
Source: RNAcentral
AAACCAGACUCCUACGGGAGGCAGCAGUGGGGGAUAUUGCACAAUGGGGGGAACCCUGAUGCAGCGACGCCGCGUGGGUGAAGGAGUGCUUCGGCAUGUAAAGCCCUAUCGGCAGGGAAGAAGCAAGACGGUACCUGACUAAGAAGCCCCGGCUAACUACGUGCCAGCAGCCGCGGUAAUACGUAGGGGGCGAGCGUUAUCCGGAUUUACUGGGUGUAAAGGGAGCGUAGACGGUCCUGCAAGCCAGAUGUGAAAGCCCGGGGCUCAACCCCGGGACUGCUUUGGAAACUGUUAGACUAGAGUGCUGGAGAGGUAAGUGGAAUUCCUAGUGUAGCGGUGAAAUGCGUAGAUAUUAGGAGGAACACCAGUGGCGAAGGCGGCUUACUGGACAGUAACUGACGUUGAGGCUCGAAAGCGUGGGGAGCAAACAGGAUUAGAUACCCCUGUAAU